Molecule: ribosomal RNA, 2619 nt
Filed under: Salmonella enterica subsp. enterica serovar Virchow
Lineage: Bacteria; Pseudomonadati; Pseudomonadota; Gammaproteobacteria; Enterobacterales; Enterobacteriaceae
Description: partial 23S ribosomal RNA
Rfam family: Bacterial large subunit ribosomal RNA
Source: RNAcentral
AAUCCAUAGGUUAAUGAGGCGAACCGGGGGAACUGAAACAUCUAAGUACCCCGAGGAAAAGAAAUCAACCGAGAUUCCCCCAGUAGCGGCGAGCGAACGGGGAGGAGCCCAGAGCCUGAAUCAGCAUGUGUGUUAGUGGAAGCGUCUGGAAAGGCGCGCGAUACAGGGUGACAGCCCCGUACACAAAAGCGCAUGUGCUGUGAGCUCGAUGAGUAGGGCGGGACACGUGGUAUCCUGUCUGAAUAUGGGGGGACCAUCCUCCAAGGCUAAAUACUCCUGACUGACCGAUAGUGAACCAGUACCGUGAGGGAAAGGCGAAAAGAACCCCGGCGAGGGGAGUGAAAAAGAACCUGAAACCGUGUACGUACAAGCAGUGGGAGCACCCUUUGGGGUGUGACUGCGUACCUUUUGUAUAAUGGGUCAGCGACUUAUAUUCUGUAGCAAGGUUAACCGUAUAGGGGAGCCGUAGGGAAACCGAGUCUUAACCGGGCGUUAAGUUGCAGGGUAUAGACCCGAAACCCGGUGAUCUAGCCAUGGGCAGGUUGAAGGUUGGGUAACACUAACUGGAGGACCGAACCGACUAAUGUUGAAAAAUUAGCGGAUGACCUGUGGCUGGGGGUGAAAGGCCAAUCAAACCGGGAGAUAGCUGGUUCUCCCCGAAAGCUAUUUAGGUAGCGCCUCGUGAAUUCAUCUCCGGGGGUAGAGCACUGUUUCGGCUAGGGGGCCAUCCCGGCUUACCAACCCGAUGCAAACUGCGAAUACCGGAGAAUGUUAUCACGGGAGACACACGGCGGGUGCUAACGUCCGUCGUGAAGAGGGAAACAACCCAGACCGCCAGCUAAGGUCCCAAAGUCAUGGUUAAGUGGGAAACGAUGUGGGAAGGCCCAGACAGCCAGGAUGUUGGCUUAGAAGCAGCCAUCAUUUAAAGAAAGCGUAAUAGCUCACUGGUCGAGUCGGCCUGCGCGGAAGAUGUAACGGGGCUAAACCAUGCACCGAAGCUGCGGCAGCGACGCUGAUGCGUUGUUGGGUAGGGGAGCGUUCUGUAAGCCUGUGAAGGUGGCCUGUGAGGGUUGCUGGAGGUAUCAGAAGUGCGAAUGCUGACAUAAGUAACGAUAAAGCGGGUGAAAAGCCCGCUCGCCGGAAGACCAAGGGUUCCUGUCCAACGUUAAUCGGGGCAGGGUGAGUCGACCCCUAAGGCGAGGCCGAAAGGCGUAGUCGAUGGGAAACGGGUUAAUAUUCCCGUACUUGGUGUUACUGCGAAGGGGGGACGGAGAAGGCUAUGUUGGCCGGGCGACGGUUGUCCCGGUUUAAGCGUGUAGGUGUGUGUUCCAGGUAAAUCCGGUUCACUUUAACACUGAGGCGUGACGACGAGGCACUACGGUGCUGAAGCAACAAAUGCCCUGCUUCCAGGAAAAGCCUCUAAGCAUCAGGUAACAUCAAAUCGUACCCCAAACCGACACAGGUGGUCAGGUAGAGAAUACCAAGGCGCUUGAGAGAACUCGGGUGAAGGAACUAGGCAAAAUGGUGCCGUAACUUCGGGAGAAGGCACGCUGACACGUAGGUGAAGUGAUUUACUCAUGGAGCUGAAGUCAGUCGAAGAUACCAGCUGGCUGCAACUGUUUAUUAAAAACACAGCACUGUGCAAACACGAAAGUGGACGUAUACGGUGUGACGCCUGCCCGGUGCCGGAAGGUUAAUUGAUGGGGUCAGCGCAAGCGAAGCUCCUGAUCGAAGCCCCGGUAAACGGCGGCCGUAACUAUAACGGUCCUAAGGUAGCGAAAUUCCUUGUCGGGUAAGUUCCGACCUGCACGAAUGGCGUAAUGAUGGCCAGGCUGUCUCCACCCGAGACUCAGUGAAAUUGAACUCGCUGUGAAGAUGCAGUGUACCCGCGGCAAGACGGAAAGACCCCGUGAACCUUUACUAUAGCUUGACACUGAACAUUGAGCCUUGAUGUGUAGGAUAGGUGGGAGGCUUUGAAGUGUGGACGCCAGUCUGCAUGGAGCCGACCUUGAAAUACCACCCUUUAAUGUUUGAUGUUCUAACGUGGACCCGUUACCCGGGUUGCGGACAGUGUCUGGUGGGUAGUUUGACUGGGGCGGUCUCCUCCUAAAGAGUAACGGAGGAGCACGAAGGUUGGCUAAUCCUGGUCGGACAUCAGGAGGUUAGUGCAAUGGCAUAAGCCAGCUUGACUGCGAGCGUGACGGCGCGAGCAGGUGCGAAAGCAGGUCAUAGUGAUCCGGUGGUUCUGAAUGGAAGGGCCAUCGCUCAACGGAUAAAAGGUACUCCGGGGAUAACAGGCUGAUACCGCCCAAGAGUUCAUAUCGACGGCGGUGUUUGGCACCUCGAUGUCGGCUCAUCACAUCCUGGGGCUGAAGUAGGUCCCAAGGGUAUGGCUGUUCGCCAUUUAAAGUGGUACGCGAGCUGGGUUUAGAACGUCGUGAGACAGUUCGGUCCCUAUCUGCCGUGGGCGCUGGAGAACUGAGGGGGGCUGCUCCUAGUACGAGAGGACCGGAGUGGACGCAUCACUGGUGUUCGGGUUGUCAUGCCAAUGGCACUGCCCGGUAGCUAAAUGCGGAAGAGAUAAGUGCUGAAAGCAUCUAAGCACGAAACUUGCCCCGA